GUCUAUGGCCAUACCACCCUGAACACACCUGAUUUUGUCUCAUCUCAGAAGCUAAGCAGAGUUAGGCCUGAUUAGUACUUGGAAGGGGAAGCCCAGCAGACACCUGUGCCAUGCAGA
This 117-nucleotide ribosomal RNA is filed under the name Carlito syrichta (Philippine tarsier). Lineage: Eukaryota; Metazoa; Chordata; Mammalia; Primates; Tarsiidae. The record is from RNAcentral.